Molecule: long non-coding RNA, 1087 nt
Filed under: Olea europaea (common olive)
Lineage: Eukaryota; Viridiplantae; Streptophyta; Magnoliopsida; Lamiales; Oleaceae
Description: long non-coding RNA (OEUR_LNC015210)
Source: RNAcentral
UUUUGAACACAUAUCAAAACUUCACAAAUUUGUUUGGCCAAAGUAAUACAACUUACUUUGAUUCCAAAUUAAUGUAGAACACAAUCGAACAAGGAGAUUGAUAAAGAAAGAGGGAAAGUGAUGUAGGAUGAAUAAGAAAGAAAGAAGAAGGAACGGGGAGGAGAAACAGAGAGAAGGGAGAAGAGGAGAAGAAACCAGAGGAAGAGAGGGGAGGGAGAAAACGGCUGCAAGCCACCAAAAAAUAUUUCAAUUCUAAUUCAUCAUCCACUGUCUCAAAUGAGAAACAAAACAGAAAUAAAUAGCAGAAGAUAAACCCUAAAGAGAAGGGCUUGGGCCAAACCCACUAAACAAGCCCAAUAACGAAAACAUAAACAAUAGUCCAAAUAAAAUAUAACUAAGAGUCCAAAUAGAAAAUAAAUAAUAAAUGGAUGUGCGCAUCAACUCUCCCGGGAUGGGAGAAAAACUCGACCCCGUCGAGUAGAUAAAGUAGAAUGUUGCACUGAAUCUGAUGCGAAAGGCUCCAAGUCAUGCCACGGGGGACGAUCUUUCUCGAUGACCAAAUACCGAAACUCCACAAAUGAUAACAAGGAUAGUUGUAGCUUAUCCUCAAGGAUAUGAUCCAACCAAGGAGGACGAUCUUUCUUUGUAAUCACAUACUGAUACUGAACUCCCAAUAGUAAAAAUUCAUGCCACUCAUCUCCAAAAUCUUCCUCAUUGGUCAACACAACCUGUUUAUCUAAAAUAGCAUCAAUUACAUCUUUGUGUGCUGUGACAUGUGUUAUUGGAGUGAAAAUGGUAACAUAUUUAGGUUGGGGAUCCACAUAAGAAAGUAGAAAAGGAUCAUCAAGGAAAUUAAAAAGGCCUUUGUAAGUAACUAAGUCUUCAAUAUGUAAAGUAGAGUGGUGGCCAAAAUGUGAUGAAAAAUUAAUGACAUGUGCGUAUGGACCAACAUGCUUUAAAACUUUAAAAGGACCAGCACUACCGGCUUGCAAUAUAACAUAAUCCCCAAUAUGAAAUUGAAAAUAUUGUUUAUGCAAAUCAGUUUGAAAUUUAUAUAAUGCAUUACUUGCGUGAAGUUGUUUAUUNN